CAGUCGCCACGGGAAUACGUAGGGUGCAAGCGUUAAUCGGAAUUACUGGGCGUAAAGCGUGCACAGGCGGUUUGUUAAGACAGAUGUGAAAUCCCCGGGCUUAACCUGGGAACUGCAUUUGUGACUGCGGGGCUAGAGUGUGUCAGAGGGGGGUGGAAUUCCACGUGUAGCAGUGAAAUGCGUAGAUAUGUGGAGGAACACCGAUGGCGAAGGCAGCCCCCUGGGAUAACACUGACGCUCAUGCACGAAAGCGUGGGGAGCAAACAGGAUUAGAUACCCGCGUAGUCCCUGUCUCUUAUAA
This 301-nucleotide ribosomal RNA is filed under the name uncultured bacterium. RNAcentral describes it as "partial 16S ribosomal RNA". It matches the Rfam family "Bacterial small subunit ribosomal RNA", at positions 509 to 809 of the family's 1533-position model. The record is from RNAcentral.